UUCUCCUUGUUCUCAUCGUCCUCAGGAGGAGGAGGGUCAUCUUUGUGAUGAGUGCACCACUGAAUCACCUGGGAAAAAAAUGUGUGCAGGCAAACACAAACACAGGCAACUUUAAUCAAGGAACAGACAAUUUCCUGCCAGCCUCUCUGCACAAUUUCCACAUCGCUCUCCAGUGGGGUCUACAUUAAGAUGCUACACAGUGAUUACAACACAACCCCCAACAUCACCACCAUAAUCUCUCCAAGGAAAUAAACCCUGGUAUGUGUU
Molecule: long non-coding RNA, 267 nt
Organism: Seriola aureovittata
Lineage: Eukaryota; Metazoa; Chordata; Actinopteri; Carangiformes; Carangidae
Exons: 2
Source: RefSeq, a predicted model, not a curated record